UUAGAUUACAAUCAAUCAUGAUAAUAUUUUAUGGGUGAAUUCAUGAAAUUGUGGCUAAAUUAAUUCGAUUACUAAAACUUUGAGAUUUGGAUUCAUCAAUUGUGGGAAAAUACAGGUGAAGCUGAUGAAGGUAAGAGAAUAGUUGAAAAAAUAAUUGAUUAAAAAUGUAUGUUUAUUUUAAAGAUUCUCCAACGAAUAAAUUUUAAUUUUCUCCCAAAAUUCUCCCCUUUGCCCUCUCUCUAGAGUUUCCUUUUUCUCUCUUCUCCAG
Molecule: long non-coding RNA, 268 nt
Filed under: Olea europaea (common olive)
Lineage: Eukaryota; Viridiplantae; Streptophyta; Magnoliopsida; Lamiales; Oleaceae
Description: long non-coding RNA (OEUR_LNC005468)
Source: RNAcentral